Long non-coding RNA from Oncorhynchus tshawytscha (Chinook salmon), 867 nucleotides. NCBI's taxonomy places the organism in Eukaryota, Metazoa, Chordata, Actinopteri, Salmoniformes, Salmonidae. The record is from Ensembl.
GUGGGACUGGGUGCGUCCUCCCUACCAGGUCACAGUCAAGUGACGGUCUGGGAGAAGUAGUGUGGGACUGGGUGCGUCCUCCCUACCAGGUCACAGUCAAGUGACGGUCCGGGAGAAGUAGUGUGGGACUGGGUGCGUCCUCCCUGCCAGGUCACAGUCAAGUGACGGUCCGGGAGAAGUAGUGUGGGACUGGGUGCGUCCUCCCUACCAGGUCACAGUAAAGUGACGGUCCGGGAGAAGUAGUGUGGGACUGGGUGCGUCCUCCCUGCCAGGUCACAGUCAAGUGACGGUCCGGGAGAAGUAGUGUGGGACUGGGUGCGUCCUCCCUGCCAGGUCACAGUCAAGUGACGGUCCGGGAGAAGUAGUGUGGGACUGGGUGCGUCCUCCCUACCAGGUCACAGUCAAGUGACGGUCUGGGAGAAGUAGUGUGGGACUGGGUGCGUCCUCCCUACCAGGUCACAGUCAAGUGACGGUCCGGGAGAAGUAGUGUGGGACUGGGUGCGUCCUCCCUGCCAGGUCACAGUCAAGGGACGGUCCGGGAGAAGUAGUGUGGGACUGGGUGCGUCCUCACUGCCAGGUCACAGUCAAGUGACGGUCCGGGAGAAGUAGUGUGGGACUGGGUGCGUCCUCCCUGCCAGGUCACAGUCAAGUGACGGUCUGGGAGAAGUAGUGUGGGACUGGGUGCGUCCUCCCUGCCAGGUCACAGUCAAGUGACGGUCCGGGAGAAGUAGUGUGGGACUGGGUGCGUCCUCCCUGCCAGGUCACAGUCAAGUGACGGUCCGGGAGAAGUGUGCAACCCCUUCAGCACCAACAGCAGAGAACUUUUACACACCUCUUACACACCUCUUACGCUUUCCUAAACCACCU